CAAGCCUUAAAAUUAAAUUAUAAUCCAAAAGUUAUCCAGAGUGGCACAGCGGUCUAAGGUACUGCAUUGCAGUGCUUGAGGCGUCACUACAGACUCGGGUUCGAUUCCAGACUGUGUUACAGCCAGCCGUGACCGGAAGACCCAUGAGGCGGCACACAAUUGGCCCAGCGUCGUCCGUGUUUGGGAAGGGUUUGGCUGGCUGGGAUUUCCUUGUCCCUAUGGACUCCUUGUGGCGGACCUGGCACCUGCAAGCUGACUUUGGUCGUCAGUUGGACGGUGUUUCCUCCGACACAUUUGUGCGGCUGGCUUCCGGGUUAAGCAAGGAGUGUAUCAAGAAGCAGUAUGGCUUGGCAGGGUCGUGUUUCGGAGGACGCAUGGCUCUCGACCUUUGCCUCUCCCGAAUCCGUAGGGGAGUUGCAGUGAUGGGACAAGACUGUAACUACCAAUUGGGGAGAAAAAGGGCAAAAAAUUAUAAUCCAAAGUAGUGUGAAAUGCACUCAUAAACUACAUGUAAAUAGUGUUUUUGCUUCUAUAAGAACUCUCCCCUGUUCUGCCACCAACUUGAGUGCAUUGCCCUCAUGAGGCAAUAUUUGCAAACACAGAAAGGGGUAUUUGGUUUUUAAAUGGUAAAAGGUUUCCGUAAUGAAUAGGGGUCCCAGUACGUUUUGUUAUUGGAAAUCGGAAAUCAAUUUGUUUUCUAAUUUAUUGGGUCACAAUUUGACAUGAAAUAACAGAAAACAAAUAACAUUAAAAUCUAUUAAAUGUUUAGAUUUUUGUUUUGUUCAUACCCAGAAGUACACGCCCCCCUCAUAGAAUAUUCAAAGAGUUUAGGGGGUGUGUUUACAGCCUAGGUUGGCAGCACAAAGAAAGGAUUAGACUGUGUGAGUGACAGGAAGAUAAAAAAUACUAAUGUUAGCUAAAAUGCAGAAUAACAACUGAACAAAGUUGGCUACUGACUACCUAGCAGGCCAGAGCUACCUGCUGCAAAAAGGGUCGUAACCAACUUCAGUGGGCAAAUGCUCUCCUUCGAUGGCCACCGGCCCGCUGGAGAAGUGUGCUUUUCACGGAUGAAUCCCAGUUUCAACUGUAUGCCGUCGUGUGGGCGAGCAGUUGGCUGAUGUCAACGUUGUGAACAGAGUGCCCCAUGGUGGCAAUGGGUUUAUGGAAUGGGCAGGCAUAAGCUACGGACAACGAACACAUUUGCAUUUUAUCGAUGGCAUUUUGAAUGCAAAGAGAUACUGUGGCGAGAUCCUGUGCCAUCACCUCAUGUUUCAGCAUGAUAAUGCACAGCCCCAUGUCGCAAGGAUCUGUACACUAAAAAUGUCCAAGUUCUUCCAUGGCCUGCAUACUCACCAAACAUGUCACCCAUUGAGCAUGUUUGGGAUGCUAUGGAUCGACUUUAUACUGAAAAUCACAUUUACUUAAGUAUUCAGACCCUUUACUCAGUACUUGGUUGUUGCACCUUUGGCAGCGAUUACAGCCUAGCGUCUAAUUAGUUAUGACGCUACAAGCUUGGCACACCUGUAUUUGGGGAGUUUCUCCCAUUCUUCUCUGCAGAUCCUCUCAAGCCCUGUCGGGUUGGAUGGGGAGCGUUACUGCACAGCUAUUUUCAGGAAUCUCCAGAGAUGUUAGAUUGGGUUCAAGUCCGGGCUCUGGCUGCGCCACUCCAGGACAUUGAGACUUGUCCCAAAGCCACUCCUGCAUUGUCUUGGCUGUGUGGUUAGGGUCAUUGUCCAGUUGGAAGGUGAACCUUCCUCCCAGUCUAACGCCCUGACCGCUCUGUUGCAGGUUUUCAUCAAGGAUCUCUCUGUACUUUUCUCCAUUCAUCUUUGCCUCGAUCCUGACUAGUCUCCCAGUCCCUGCCGCUGAAAAACAUCCUCACAGCAUGAUUCUGCCACCACCAUGCUUCACCGUAGGGGUGGUGCCAGGUUUCCUCCAGAUGUGACGCUUGGCAUUCAGGCCAAAGAGUUCAAUCUUGAUUUUAUCAGACCAGAGAAUCUUGUUUCUCAUGGUCUGAGAGUCUUUAGGUGCCUUUUGGCAAACUCCAAGCGGGCUAUAGUGUGCCUCUUACUGAAGAGUGGCUUCUGUCUGGCCACUCUACCAUAAAGGCCUGAUUGGUGGAGUGCUGCAGAGGUGGUUGUCCUUCUGGAAGGUUUUCCCAUCUCAACAGAAGAACUCUAAAGCUCUGUCAGAGGGACCAUCGGAUUCUUUGUCACCUCCCUGACCAAGCCCGUUCUCCCUCGAUUGCUCAGUUUGGUCAGGCGGCCAGCUCUAGGAAGAGUCUUGGUGGUUCCGAACUUCUUCCAUUUAAGAAUGAUGGAGGCCACUGUGUUUUUGGGGACCUUUAAUGCUGCAGAAAUGUUUUGGUACCCUUCGCCAGAUCUGUACCUCGACACAAUCCUGUCU
RNAcentral lists this long non-coding RNA (2406 nucleotides) under Salmo salar (Atlantic salmon). RNAcentral's name for it is "lncRNA (ENSSSAG00000121102.1)". Lineage: Eukaryota; Metazoa; Chordata; Actinopteri; Salmoniformes; Salmonidae. The record is from RNAcentral.